This is a small nuclear RNA of Pteronotus mesoamericanus, 105 nucleotides long. NCBI's taxonomy places the organism in Eukaryota, Metazoa, Chordata, Mammalia, Chiroptera, Mormoopidae. The record is from RefSeq and is a predicted model, not a curated record.
GCUUGCUUCAGUCACACAUAUACUACAAUUGAAACAAUACAAAGAAGAUCAGUAUGGCCCUCAUGCAAGGAUAACAUGCAAAUUCAUGAAGCAUUCCCUAUUUUU